AUUUUGGAUGUAGGCUUGUUAAACUCAGGGGCACUGUUAGUCACUAUGGAGUUCAAGAAGGAGCAUAUAUGCUUUAUGUUUCCUAUAAGUACCUUCCUUCAUUCUAUAAUUCAAAGAAGUUUCUUUUGUGUAAUUACAGUGGAGGCUUCAACCAAGUUCUUCCAAGUUUUCUAUGGUAUGAAUCAUGUAAGUUAUGGCUGAUUUUUUUUAAUAUUCAUUGUUGGUUGUGUCUACUGUAGUAUUCCUCUCUAUUUUGAUUAGAGGUUUGCAAGGAUGUUGUAGAGUUUCUAUUCUUUUGUCAAUUUUGGAUGUAGGCUUGUUAAACUCAGGGGCACUGUCUUUUCUAUCUCUUUUGCAGAGGACAAUCCAUUCUUGUUGGCAAUAGGAGGCUCAAAGG
Vicia villosa (hairy vetch) is the source of this 397-nucleotide long non-coding RNA. RefSeq lists it as uncharacterized. The transcript has 3 exons. The record is from RefSeq and is a predicted model, not a curated record. Lineage: Eukaryota; Viridiplantae; Streptophyta; Magnoliopsida; Fabales; Fabaceae.